This 403-nucleotide ribosomal RNA is filed under the name Aquitalea sp. AZTITEMP4. Its description in RNAcentral is "bacterial SSU rRNA". It matches the Rfam family "Bacterial small subunit ribosomal RNA", at positions 975 to 1378 of the family's 1533-position model. Lineage: Bacteria; Pseudomonadati; Pseudomonadota; Betaproteobacteria; Neisseriales; Chromobacteriaceae. The record is from RNAcentral.
CUAGCCUUGANNUGUACGGAAGUCCGAUGAAAGUUGGAUGUGCCUUCGGGAACCGUAACACAGGUGCUGCAUGGCUGUCGUCAGCUCGUGUCGUGAGAUGUUGGGUUAAGUCCCGCAACGAGCGCAACCCUUGUCAUUAGUUGCUACCAUUUAGUUGAGCACUCUAAUGAGACUGCCGGUGACAAACCGGAGGAAGGUGGGGAUGACGUCAAGUCCUCAUGGCCCUUAUGGCUAGGGCUUCACACGUCAUACAAUGGUCGGUACAGAGGGUAGCCAAGCCGCGAGGUGGAGCCAAUCUCUUAAAGCCGAUCGUAGUCCGGAUCGCACUCUGCAACUCGAGUGCGUGAAGUCGGAAUCGCUAGUAAUCGCGGAUCAGAAUGUCACGGUGAAUACGUUCCCGGGA